RNAcentral lists this non-coding RNA (21 nucleotides) under Caenorhabditis elegans. Lineage: Eukaryota; Metazoa; Nematoda; Chromadorea; Rhabditida; Rhabditidae. The record is from RNAcentral.
UUUUAUCAGUUUCCAUAAUCU